RNAcentral lists this ribosomal RNA (253 nucleotides) under uncultured bacterium. RNAcentral describes it as "partial 16S ribosomal RNA". It matches the Rfam family "Bacterial small subunit ribosomal RNA", at positions 524 to 776 of the family's 1533-position model. The record is from RNAcentral.
UACGGAGGGUGCAAACGUUGCUCGGAUUCACUGGGCGUAAAGGGUGCGUAGGCGGUCGGGUAAGUCUGAUGUGAAAUCUCACAGCUUAACUGUGAAACUGCAUUGGAUACUAUUCGGCUUGAGAGUUGGAGGGGGGACUGGAAUUCUUGGUGUAGCAGUGAAAUGCGUAGAUAUCAAGAGGAACACCAGUGGCGAAGGCGAGUCCCUGGACAACUUCUGACGCUGAGGCACGAAAGCUAGGGGAGCAAACAGG